RNAcentral lists this long non-coding RNA (336 nucleotides) under Nicotiana benthamiana. RNAcentral's name for it is "long non-coding RNA (NBEN_LNC037515)". Lineage: Eukaryota; Viridiplantae; Streptophyta; Magnoliopsida; Solanales; Solanaceae. The record is from RNAcentral.
GAGAUACACACUUUGGAAUCAAAAUUUGGUGGGAUUUAGGAUGGAAUCGAAUAGCGAAUGCACUUGCGGUUAAGACAGGUCCUGCAUCUCCUACCUAAUGCAAUUGACCGACCCGCCAUUUCUUUCCUUCAAUAAUGCCUUCGCUUCACUUCAAGACGCUAUUUACCAAGGAAAGACUACCUUUUUUUUGAAUGGAAGAAGCCGAAGGGGUGAACGAGCGCUGCGGUAACGAGCCGUAAGAAAGAUGAGCAGAGCAUUCCUUCCGCCGGCCUUUAUAGGAGUAGGGGAGCGUGGUGAGAUAGAUAGACGUCCAAUCCUGCAGCAGCUAGUUGCUCG